GAUGAACGCUGGCGGCGUGCCUAAUACAUGCAAGUCGAGCGAGCAGACGAGGAGCUUGCUCCUCUGACGUUAGCGGCGGACGGGUGAGUAACACGUGGAUAACCUACCUAUAAGACUGGGAUAACUUCGGGAAACCGGAGCUAAUACCGGAUAAUAUAUUGAACCGCAUGGUUCAAUAGUGAAAGACGGUCUUGCUGUCACUUAUAGAUGGAUCCGCGCCGCAUUAGCUAGUUGGUAAGGUAACGGCUUACCAAGGCAACGAUGCGUAGCCGACCUGAGAGGGUGAUCGGCCACACUGGAACUGAGACCCGGUCCAGAGUCCUACGGGAGGCAGCAGUAGGGAAUCUUCCGCAAUGGGCGAAAGCCUGACGGAGCAACGCCGCGCGAGUGAUGAAGGUCCUCGGAUCGUAAAACUCUGUUAUUAGGGAAGAACAAAUGUGUAAGUAACUAUGCACGUCUUGACGGUACCUAAUCAGAAAGCCACGGCUAACUACGUG
This 497-nucleotide ribosomal RNA is filed under the name uncultured bacterium. RNAcentral describes it as "partial 16S ribosomal RNA". It matches the Rfam family "Bacterial small subunit ribosomal RNA", at positions 28 to 507 of the family's 1533-position model. The record is from RNAcentral.